Molecule: ribosomal RNA, 253 nt
Filed under: uncultured bacterium
Lineage: Bacteria
Description: partial 16S ribosomal RNA
Rfam family: Bacterial small subunit ribosomal RNA
Source: RNAcentral
UACAGAGGUCUCAAGCGUUGUUCGGAUUCAUUGGGCGUAAAGGGUGCGUAGGUGGCGCCGUAAGUCGGGUGUGAAAUUUCGGAGCUUAACUCCGAAACUGCAUUCGAUACUGCGGUGCUUGAGAACUGGAGAGGAGACUGGAAUUCAUGGUGUAGCAGUGAAAUGCGUAGAGAUCAUGAGGAAGACCAGUGGCGAAGGCGGGUCUCUGGACAGUUCCUGACACUGAGGCACGAGGGCCAGGGGAGCAAACGGG